This 468-nucleotide ribosomal RNA is filed under the name uncultured bacterium. Its description in RNAcentral is "partial 16S ribosomal RNA". It matches the Rfam family "Bacterial small subunit ribosomal RNA", at positions 28 to 507 of the family's 1533-position model. The record is from RNAcentral.
GACGAACGCUGGCGGCGUGCUUAACACAUGCAAGUCGAACGGAAAGGCCCUGCUUUUGUGGGGUGCUCGAGUGGCGAACGGGUGAGUAACACGUGAGUAACCUGCCCUUGACUUUGGGAUAACUUCAGGAAACUGGGGCUAAUACCGGAUAGGAGCUCCUGCUGCAUGGUGGGGGUUGGAAAGUUUGGGCGGUUGGGGAUGGACUCGGGGCUUAUCAGCUUGUUGGGGGGGGAGUGGCUUACCAAGGCUUUGACGGGUAGCCGGCCUGAGAGGGUGACCGGCGACAAUGGGACUGAGAGACGGACCAGUCUCCUAUGUGAGGCAGCAGGCGGGAAUAUGGCACAAUGGUGGGAAGCCUGUUGCAGAAACGCCGCGUGCGGGAUGACGGCCUUCGGGUUGUAAACCGCUUUCGCCUGUGACGAAGCGUGAGUGACGGUAAUGGGUAAAGAAGCACCGGCUAACUACGUG